This 488-nucleotide ribosomal RNA is filed under the name uncultured bacterium. RNAcentral's name for it is "bacterial SSU rRNA". It matches the Rfam family "Bacterial small subunit ribosomal RNA", at positions 31 to 507 of the family's 1533-position model. The record is from RNAcentral.
GAACGCUAGCUACAGGCUUAACACAUGCAAGUCGAGGGGCAGCAUGAGGUUUGCUUGCAAAUCUUGAUGGCGACCGGCGCACGGGUGAGUAACGCGUAUCCAACCUGCCCAUGACUUGGGGGAUAACCUUGCGAAAGCAAGCCUAAUACCCGAUACGCUUCAUAGAUGGCAUCUGAAAUGAAGUAAAGGUUUACGGUUAUGGAUGGGGAUGCGUCCGAUUAGCUUGUUGGCGGGGUAACGGCCCACCAAGGCAUCGAUCGGUAGGGGUUCUGAGAGGAAGGUCCCCCCACAUUGGAACUGAGACACGGUCCAAACUCCUACGGGAGGCAGCAGUGAGGAAUAUUGGUCAAUGGAGGCAACUCUGAACCAGCCAAGUAGCGUGCAGGAUGACGGCCCUAUGGGUUGUAAACUGCUUUUAUGCGGGGAUAAACUGACUCACGUGUGGGUCAUUGCAGGUACCGCAUGAAUAAGGACCGGCUAAUUCCGUG